Molecule: ribosomal RNA, 117 nt
Filed under: Danio rerio (zebrafish)
Lineage: Eukaryota; Metazoa; Chordata; Actinopteri; Cypriniformes; Danionidae
Source: RNAcentral
AGCCACAGCCAUAUCACCCUGCAGCCCAAGACCGGUUACUCACUGAAGCUAAGCAGGGCUGAGCCUGGUCAAUACAUGGAUGGGAGACCACUAGGGAACACUAGGUUGCUGUUGGAU